Cicer arietinum (chickpea) is the source of this 789-nucleotide long non-coding RNA. RefSeq lists it as uncharacterized. Lineage: Eukaryota; Viridiplantae; Streptophyta; Magnoliopsida; Fabales; Fabaceae. The record is from RefSeq and is a predicted model, not a curated record.
AAAUUAACCAGAUCAAAAACUGACGAAACACCGUGGAAAACGAAAACGCGGUUCAAACCAAAACCAAAAGCACGCAUUAAAAGAGUUGAAAAUUAACAUCAAGCAACGUUCACUAUUCCAUCCAUCAUCAUCAAAUGGCAGAAGCGCGUUUUAAUAAUUUACGGAAAAGCACAAACGAGAAUGAGAUAACUGAAUCAGACAUGGAAGUUGCUCGGCAACUUAUUCAGCUCAGCCAUGAAGAUAAAAUCACUCGCAAGAGAAAUAGAACAUUGGAGGAAGAUUUAAAGGUUGUUCAACAAGGGAUAAUUAGCACCAAAGCAAUUAGUAAUCAUAAGAUUAAAUCUCACCCGAAGAAUCAGAGGAAAUAUCGCUCUCUUCUCAAUAUAUACAAUGCUACAAAGGAAUCAAAACCCUAAUUCAAGAACCAAGCUUCAUCACGUGUGCACACAAAAAGAUAUACUAUGGGAGAUGAUCAAACAAGCACAUAGUAAAACCCUUAAGAAUCAUGACGUUCUGAUUGCGGCUCAAAAGCUUAUGCAACUCAAGAAAGAGAAGACAAUCUCUUUUGUACAUUUAUUUUCUCCCUCUUUCUCUAUAUGUAGCCUGUAGGAGAUAAUAACUAUUCUUCAAUAAUAAACUAUUGGGUCAUCGGCCCACAUUUUAACGGUUGUAAAAAUCUCGUGUUGCUAUGUAUUUAGUUGUUUUUAGGGGUGUAGGGGAAUUUAUGAGAGCACUUUAAUUAUAUAUUAUUAGCUUAAUCAUCAUCAAUUUGAAUACCAUUAUAUUUAA